CCAACUACAUGACGAUGGUGGGGUGAGUACGUAGUGGGCAAUGCGUAACCGGAAUUAUUUGGCGUGCAGCGGGAGGAUGUGGUUUCAUAAUGCUGAGGUGAAAGCCCACGGCUCAGACGUGGAGGGUCAUUGGAAACUGGGAGACUUGAGUGCAGAAGAGGAAAGUGGAAUUCCAUGUGUAGCGGUGAAAUGCGUAGAGAUAUGGAGGAACACCAGUGGCGAAGGCGACUUUCGGGUCUGUAACUGACACUGAGGCGCGAAAGCGUGGGGAGCAAACAGGAUUAGAUACCCCAGUAGUC
Molecule: ribosomal RNA, 299 nt
Filed under: uncultured Lactobacillus sp.
Lineage: Bacteria; Bacillati; Bacillota; Bacilli; Lactobacillales; Lactobacillaceae
Description: partial 16S ribosomal RNA
Rfam family: Bacterial small subunit ribosomal RNA
Source: RNAcentral